RNAcentral lists this ribosomal RNA (497 nucleotides) under uncultured bacterium. Its description in RNAcentral is "partial 16S ribosomal RNA". It matches the Rfam family "Bacterial small subunit ribosomal RNA", at positions 30 to 507 of the family's 1533-position model. The record is from RNAcentral.
CGAACGCUGGCGGCGUGCCUACUACAUGCACGUCGAGCGAAGUUUUUCUGGUGCUUGCACCGGAAAAACUUAGCGGCGAACGGGUGAGUAACACGUAAAGAACCUGCCUCAUAGACUGGGACAACUAUUGGAAACGAUAGCUAAUACCGGAUAAUAGCAUUAACUGCAUGGUUGAUGUUUAAAAGUUGGUUUUGCUAACACUAUGAGAUGGCUUUGCGGUGCAUUAGCUAGUUGGUGGGGUAAAGGCCUACCAAGGCGACGAUGCAUAGCCGACCUGAGAGGGUGAUCGGCCACACUGGGACUGAGACACGGCCCAGACUCCUACGGGAGGCAGCAGUAGGGAAUCUUCCGCAAUGGGCGAAAGCCUGACGGAGCAACGCCGCGUGAGUGAAGAAGGAUUUCGGUUCGUAAAGCUCUGUUGUUAGGGAAGAAUGAUUGUGUAGUAACUAUACACAGUAGAGACGGUACCUAACCAGAAAGCCACGGCUAACUACGUG